GUGCAGCAGGCGCGAAUACUUUACAAUGUGCGAAAGCACGAUAAGGGAACUCUGAGUGCCUCCUAAGGAGGCUGUUCAGGUGUCUAAAAAGCACCUGGAGUAAGGGCUGGGUAAGACCGGUGCCAGCCGCCGCGGUAACACCGGCAGCCCAGGUGGUAGCCACUUUUAUUGGGUCUAAAGCGUCCGUAGCCGGUUGAGUAAGUUCCUUGGGAAAUUUGGCUGCUCAACAGUCAAGCUUCCAGGGAAUACUGCUCGACUUGGGGACUGGGGAGAGGUCAGAGGUACUCCAGGGGUAGGGUGAAAAUCCAUUAAUCCCUGGGGGACCACCGGUAGCGAAGGCGUCUGACCAGACCAGGUCCGACGGUGAGGGACGAAGGCUAGGGUCGCGAACCGGAUUAGGAUACCCGCGUAGU
This 413-nucleotide ribosomal RNA is filed under the name uncultured microorganism. RNAcentral describes it as "bacterial SSU rRNA". It matches the Rfam family "Archaeal small subunit ribosomal RNA", at positions 330 to 745 of the family's 1478-position model. The record is from RNAcentral.